GCUUUUGCGCAGUGGCAGUAUCAUAACCAAUGAAUUUAAUCUGAGGUGUGAUAUUGCUAGUUGAAAACCGCUCCUCUCCCCCUUCCUGGUGUAGAUGGUAACAGUACUACUGUAGACAGCAGAAACUGUUACCGUCUCCCCUCUUUUUGUUACACUCAUCAGU
This 163-nucleotide small nuclear RNA is filed under the name Chelonoidis abingdonii (Abingdon island giant tortoise). RNAcentral describes it as "U4 spliceosomal RNA (ENSCABG00000001323.1)". It matches the Rfam family "U4 spliceosomal RNA". Rfam says of the family: U4 small nuclear RNA (U4 snRNA) is a component of the major U2-dependent spliceosome. The structure of U4 snRNA from yeast and human has been reported. U4 snRNA presents a k-turn RNA motif in the 5p-SL related to recognition of Snu13 protein. The record is from Rfam by way of RNAcentral. Lineage: Eukaryota; Metazoa; Chordata; Testudines; Testudinidae.